UUGGUUAGAACUCGUAUCAGGUUGUCCUGCAACGGGGCAACACUUCCAGCUCGCCACGCCGGCAGCGAGCGCAUAACCGGCAGAACGACUCUGCCCGGCCUCAGCCGAGGCCGACGGGACAUUACAGUCAAC
Molecule: non-coding RNA, 132 nt
Filed under: Pseudomonas palmensis
Lineage: Bacteria; Pseudomonadati; Pseudomonadota; Gammaproteobacteria; Pseudomonadales; Pseudomonadaceae
Description: rmf RNA
Rfam family: rmf RNA
Source: RNAcentral